RNAcentral lists this ribosomal RNA (253 nucleotides) under uncultured bacterium. RNAcentral describes it as "partial 16S ribosomal RNA". It matches the Rfam family "Bacterial small subunit ribosomal RNA", at positions 524 to 776 of the family's 1533-position model. The record is from RNAcentral.
UACGUAGGGUGCGAUCGGUAAUCGGAAUUACUGGGCGUAAAGCGUGCGCAGGCGGUUGUGUAAGACAGGCGUGAAAACCCCGGGCUCAACCUGGGAAUGGCGCUUGUGACUGCAAGGCUGGAGUGCGGCAGAGGGGGAUGGAAUUCCGCGUGUAGCAGUGAAAUGCGUAGAUAUGCGGAGGAACACCGAUGGCGAAGGCAAUCCCCUGGGCCUGCACUGACGCUCAUGCACGAAAGCGUGGGGAGCAAACAGG